CGAGAAUAGCCCUAUCAUGUGGUUUCAUUAGUCAUUUUAAUCUCAUCAUCAGAGAAGCUCUUGGCCACUUCAGCUACAAAAAGACCACAUCCCUUUGGGAUUUGCCAUGGUCCCAUGGGAAGCAAGGGAAGCACCUAGAUUAAGCCAUAGUUCAUCCCAGUUGCCAGAUCACUCCUUCCUGUGUAUAUAGCAACGGAGGAGCACAGCGGGACACAUCAUGGCCUUGAGACUCAAAGCUUUCCCUCUGGAGUGUUGGAUGGGAUAACCCAUGGGGAGGCAGUGUCCAUGGUUCUGCAUUCCCACAGUUAUCCUGAGAUCUGUUGGGAAAAUCAGGCCCAGCCCUGGAUUGUGAGUGAUGUGGAACUGCAAUGACCCAAGAGGAGCACAGGGAGCAUUUUCCCACAGAAAAUUGGAAUGAGCUCCAAACUCUUUGGUGCAUAGAGAAACAUGCCCACUACAGUACAUCACAGACUAUGCACCACAAUGUUAACUCUGCCUCCCUGGGGAUUACCAGCCUUCCAUCACACUGUGUCACUCUCCUACUGUGCUUCGUGCUGGACCAAACUACCCUUUCCUGAUGCAACCAGCUACUACAGCAGUCAUCCAUAACGACUAGCUCAGGGGAAAAAUAAUCUGGUAAAGGGCAAAGGGGGAUAGAGUUAAGAUAGCAUUGUGUCUGUGGUGAAUGGCAGUUGUGGUAAUGGGAAGAUAUAUGCCAGGGGAUAGAGGAGAGGAAGGUAUGAAAUGUUAUGUGAUUUAUUUCCUUACUUUUGCGGGUUUGUGAGGUGUGUUGUAUGGGUAGUAACACUAAGUGCUUCAGAACAAAGUUUUAUGUGUAUUAAUUAUAUAUGUGUUUGUGUGUAUAUACAUAAUAGGCACACUAAUCCCUAUUGUUUUAAUUCUACAAACAUUUCCAUGCUAAGAAGUCAUUUUUAGCUGCUUAUAACUUUUAAUGUCUUGCUUUUUAGGCUGAAUUUUGGUAGUUUUGUUCUCAGCCGAUAAGUAUAUUUAGAGAGUUAUGCAUAUUUGAAGCCAUGCUGAUUCUAGUAAAAAACACUAGAAUAAAAUAAAUAAUCAAAACAAACAACAAAACAUCUCUUUGUUUAAAAAUACAUUUUGUAAAUUGUGGUUUUUUUUUUACUCUUACUUAAAAGUAGAGAUGAUCAUAAACUGUGUUCUGUGGAAAAAACAAAGAAAAAAAAGUUUUCAUUAAAAAACAAAAAUGGUCAUUCUUUUUUGCUCUGAAAUGUUUUGGUUUUCAGUUUUUUUGUUUUUAAAAAAGCAAAAUUAAAAAUCUUCUAGGAAAGUAGAAAAUUUCCAUUAAAAUUGCAGUUGCAAUCAGAACCCCCAAUUUUCUACUGAAAAAUAAAAAGGUGGUGUUGGGGAACUUUUUCAACCAUCCCUGUUUAAAAAGUCAGUUCACAGUUUUAAUAUUUCACAUUAUAUCAAAUGGAACUUGGUUGCAGUAGGGAAGUGUUUGGAGGUGAUACCACACCACAAAGCCAGUCUGUCUUCACAUGGCAAGAAUGAUAGCUGCAGUUGUAGCAUCUUGGAGAAUAGUUCUUUUAAUAAUGAGCCUGUUUAGUUUUAUGAGCAUGGAGUCCUUUCAUGUUAUUAUGGUAUACAAAGCGACAGUAUAUUUUUAAGGACCUGAUUAUAUGGCCAUUUUUAUUUUUAAACUGUAUUUAUUUAUUUUGUGGCUACUGUAAAGUCAUGCAUGGGUUAAAAU
Long non-coding RNA from Mauremys reevesii (Reeves's turtle), 1729 nucleotides. RefSeq lists it as uncharacterized. The record is from RefSeq and is a predicted model, not a curated record. NCBI's taxonomy places the organism in Eukaryota, Metazoa, Chordata, Testudines, Geoemydidae. The transcript has 3 exons.